This 685-nucleotide unclassified non-coding RNA is filed under the name Hevea brasiliensis (rubber tree). The record is from RNAcentral. Lineage: Eukaryota; Viridiplantae; Streptophyta; Magnoliopsida; Malpighiales; Euphorbiaceae.
CCAUAAUAAUGGAACUUGGGAUUUAGUACCAUUAUCCCAGAACAAAUCUGUUGUUGGAUGUCAAAGGAUUUAGAUAGUUAAAAUGGGUCCUAAAGGCAAAAUUGAUAGGCUUAAAGCUAGUUUUAUCGCCAAAGGAUACAUACAGAUCUUUAGGCUUGAUUAUAUUGAUACCUUCUCAAUAGUGGCCAAGAUUGCAUCAAUUCAGCUUCUUAUUUUGUUUGUUGCUCAGGGGGGGGUCUAGCUUGGUAUGUCGUCAACAACAGUCACUACAUGGCCUAAAGUAAUCUCCGAGAGUAUAGUUUGUGGUUCAAUUUUGUGGUCCAACAAUUUGGAAUGCUUCAGAGUGAAGUUGACCAAUCAACACUUUUUGUCAUGAUUGUCAUCAUACGUGCACUUAUUUGUCGGUCUAUAUUGAUGAGAUUGUCAUUACAGGAAAUGAUCAUAAUGGGAUAUCUCAACUUAAACACCAUUUAUUUUGUCACUUCCAGACUAAAGAUCUAGGAAAACUAAAGUAUUUUUGGGCGAUUGAGGUGAUACAGUCCAAGAUAGGUAAUGCUAUUUCUCAAAAGAAAUUUGCUUCGGACAUACUAGAAGAGAUUGACAUGUUGGAUUGCAAACAUGUGGACUCCUAUAGAUCCAAAUGUCAAACUUGUCCCUGGAUAGGGGGAGCCAUUGGAGGAUCCUG